UACGUAGGGCGCAAGCGUUGUCCGGAAUUCUUGGGCGUAAAGAGCUCGUAGGCGGCUUGUCACGUCGGGUGUGAAAGCCCGGGGCUUAACCCCGGGUCUGCAUUCGAUACGGGCUAGCUAGAGUGUGGUAGGGGAGAUCGGAAUUCCUGGUGUAGCGGUGAAAUGCGCAGAUAUCAGGAGGAACACCGGUGGCGAAGGCGGAUCUCUGGGCCAUUACUGACGCUGAGGAGCGAAAGCCAGGGGAGCAAACGGG
This 253-nucleotide ribosomal RNA is filed under the name uncultured bacterium. RNAcentral's name for it is "partial 16S ribosomal RNA". It matches the Rfam family "Bacterial small subunit ribosomal RNA", at positions 524 to 776 of the family's 1533-position model. The record is from RNAcentral.